UGUGUGUUAGUGGAAGCGUCUGGAAAGGCGCGCGAUACAGGGUGACAGCCCCGUACACAAAAAUGCACAUGCUGUGAGCUCGAUGAGUAGGGCGGGACACGUGGUAUCCUGUCUGAAUAUGGGGGGACCAUCCUCCAAGGCUAAAUACUCCUGACUGACCGAUAGUGAACCAGUACCGUGAGGGAAAGGCGAAAAGAACCCCGGCGAGGGGAGUGAAAAAGAACCUGAAACCGUGUACGUACAAGCAGUGGGAGCACGCUUAGGCGUGUGACUGCGUACCUUUUGUAUAAUGGGUCAGCGACUUAUAUUCUGUAGCAAGGUUAACCGAAUAGGGGAGCCGAAGGGAAACCGAGUCUUAACUGGGCGUUAAGUUGCAGGGUAUAGACCCGAAACCCGGUGAUCUAGCCAUGGGCAGGUUGAAGGUUGGGUAACACUAACUGGAGGACCGAACCGACUAAUGUUGAAAAAUUAGCGGAUGACUUGUGGCUGGGGGUGAAAGGCCAAUCAAACCGGGAGAUAGCUGGUUCUCCCCGAAAGCUAUUUAGGUAGCGCCUCGUGAAUUCAUCUCCGGGGGUAGAGCACUGUUUCGGCAAGGGGGUCAUCCCGACUUACCAACCCGAUGCAAACUGCGAAUACCGGAGAAUGUUAUCACGGGAGACACACGGCGGGUGCUAACGUCCGUCGUGAAGAGGGAAACAACCCAGACCGCCAGCUAAGGUCCCAAAGUCAUGGUUAAGUGGGAAACGAUGUGGGAAGGCCCAGACAGCCAGGAUGUUGGCUUAGAAGCAGCCAUCAUUUAAAGAAAGCGUAAUAGCUCACUGGUCGAGUCGGCCUGCGCGGAAGAUGUAACGGGGCUAAACCAUGCACCGAAGCUGCGGCAGCGACGCUGAUGCGUUGUUGGGUAGGGGAGCGUUCUGUAAGCCUGCGAAGGUGUGCUGUGAGGCAUGCUGGAGGUAUCAGAAGUGCGAAUGCUGACAUAAGUAACGAUAAAGCGGGUGAAAAGCCCGCUCGCCGGAAGACCAAGGGUUCCUGUCCAACGUUAAUCGGGGCAGGGUGAGUCGACCCCUAAGGCGAGGCCGAAAGGCGUAGUCGAUGGGAAACAGGUUAAUAUUCCUGUACUUGGUGUUACUGCGAAGGGGGGACGGAGAAGGCUAUGUUGGCCGGGCGACGGUUGUCCCGGUUUAAGCGUGUAGGCUGGUUUUCCAGGCAAAUCCGGAAAAUCAAGGCUGAGGCGUGAUGACGAGGCACUACGGUGCUGAAGCAACAAAUGCCCUGCUUCCAGGAAAAGCCUCUAAGCAUCAGGUAACAUCAAAUCGUACCCCAAACCGACACAGGUGGUCAGGUAGAGAAUACCAAGGCGCUUGAGAGAACUCGGGUGAAGGAACUAGGCAAAAUGGUGCCGUAACUUCGGGAGAAGGCACGCUGAUAUGUAGGUGAAGCGACUUGCUCGUGGAGCUGAAAUCAGUCGAAGAUACCAGCUGGCUGCAACUGUUUAUUAAAAACACAGCACUGUGCAAACACGAAAGUGGACGUAUACGGUGUGACGCCUGCCCGGUGCCGGAAGGUUAAUUGAUGGGGUUAGCGCAAGCGAAGCUCUUGAUCGAAGCCCCGGUAAACGGCGGCCGUAACUAUAACGGUCCUAAGGUAGCGAAAUUCCUUGUCGGGUAAGUUCCGACCUGCACGAAUGGCGUAAUGAUGGCCAGGCUGUCUCCACCCGAGACUCAGUGAAAUUGAACUCGCUGUGAAGAUGCAGUGUACCCGCGGCAAGACGGAAAGACCCCGUGAACCUUUACUAUAGCUUGACACUGAACAUUGAGCCUUGAUGUGUAGGAUAGGUGGGAGGCUUUGAAGUGUGGACGCCAGUCUGCAUGGAGCCGACCUUGAAAUACCACCCUUUAAUGUUUGAUGUUCUAACGUGGACCCGUAAUCCGGGUUGCGGACAGUGUCUGGUGGGUAGUUUGACUGGGGCGGUCUCCUCCUAAAGAGUAACGGAGGAGCACGAAGGUUGGCUAAUCCUGGUCGGACAUCAGGAGGUUAGUGCAAUGGCAUAAGCCAGCUUGACUGCGAGCGUGACGGCGCGAGCAGGUGCGAAAGCAGGUCAUAGUGAUCCGGUGGUUCUGAAUGGAAGGGCCAUCGCUCAACGGAUAAAAGGUACUCCGGGGAUAACAGGCUGAUACCGCCCAAGAGUUCAUAUCGACGGCGGUGUUUGGCACCUCGAUGUCGGCUCAUCACAUCCUGGGGCUGAAGUAGGUCCCAAGGGUAUGGCUGUUCGCCAUUUAAAGUGGUACGCGAGCUGGGUUUAGAACGUCGUGAGACAGUUCGGUCCCUAUCUGCCGUGGGCGCUGGAGAACUGAGGGGGGCUGCUCCUAGUACGAGAGGACCGGAGUGGACGCAUCACUGGUGUUCGGGUUGUCAUGCCAAUGGCACUGCCCGGUAGCUAAAUGCGGAAGAGAUAAGUGCUGAAAGCAUCUAAGCACGAAACUUGC
RNAcentral lists this ribosomal RNA (2486 nucleotides) under Escherichia coli. Its description in RNAcentral is "partial 23S ribosomal RNA". It matches the Rfam family "Bacterial large subunit ribosomal RNA", at positions 323 to 2797 of the family's 2925-position model. The record is from RNAcentral. Lineage: Bacteria; Pseudomonadati; Pseudomonadota; Gammaproteobacteria; Enterobacterales; Enterobacteriaceae.